This 1226-nucleotide long non-coding RNA is filed under the name Prunus persica (peach). Its description in RNAcentral is "long non-coding RNA (PPER_LNC006636)". Lineage: Eukaryota; Viridiplantae; Streptophyta; Magnoliopsida; Rosales; Rosaceae. The record is from RNAcentral.
AAAUAAUCUUUGUUGCUUAUCUGGGUCUGCACCUGAAACCCAUCUCAAUUCUCAACGAAUAAGUUCUCAAUUGGCGACUUUGAAUCAGCAAGAAUGCCUAUACACAGUGAUUAUUUGGAAAAUAGCAGCAACGUAGAGAAUAAAUAAACAAAGAGAAAGGACUUAAACAAAUAUGCACGCCUUAUUAUUUUUUAUUUUUUUCUAAGGACUUUUAGUUUUUUUUUGUUUGUUUUGUUCUAUACGUAUAUGGCUUAACUUGAUUUUUUUUUUUUUUUUUUGGUGUCCCCUUCAAGUAUGGGCCUCGAGCCCAGGCCCCAGUUGCCCUGGCCAAGGGCCGACUCUGUGUAGAACUAUAUUAUCUAAUCACGUAUUUUCUAUCAAUCUAAACAAUAAUUGUUUUAUUAUUUCUUGUGGACAAAUAUCAGUCCCUCCAAUUUAUUGAUAGUUCCAGAUUCAUAUAUUAAAGUUAAUAAUAACCUUCAUUCAAAUUGUCAAUGUAAUUUGAGUGUAUUACUUUGUAAGUUGCUUAAAGAAUGAAAUUUAUACUUCAAGUGGAUAUCAUAUGAAUUAGAGGUGGGCACGGUUCGGUUUGGACCGGUUUUUGCCUCAAAUUAGAACCGAUCCGGUACUAUUCAUCCGGUUUGGUUCGGUUCGGUUUUAAUUAAAAAAAUUUCAAAAACUGUCCGGUUCGGUUUGAACCGGUUUCGGUCCGGUUCCGGUUCCGGUUCGGUUUUGAACCGGAUUAUAAAAAUUAUUUUUUUAAAUUAUUUUUUAAUACAAUUCUCAAUUGAAAUAUUAUUUUUUUACUUGAAAAUUAACAAAUUAUUCAAUUUCAUAUAAAAAAUAAAUAUUAAAGUGAGAAAAGAGAGAUAUUUUGAGAUUGAACUUGGAUAAAUAUUAGGUUUUUUUUAGUGAAAUUAAAAAUAUAGCAUUAAAUAUAAAUAUAUAUUGAAAUUAUAUAUAUUUUUAGUUUCACCGGUUCGGUUCGGCCCGGUUCGGUUUUUGAAGACAUGGAACCGGAUCCGGAACCGGUCCAAACCGGUUCGGUUCGGUUUUUGACCGGUUUUUGACUUUUUAGUCAACUCGGUUUUUUUCCGGUUUGGUUCGGUGCGGUUCGGCUUGGAUUUCCGGUUCGCCGGUUUGAGUGCCCACCCCUAAUAUGAAUCUGAACUAUACCAAGCACAUCUUCCAACUGUGAAUAGUAGGGUGUCUAGGUAAGGAUGCUC